CAAAGCCACCUGAUGGUCAUGACACAUCCAGUAAAUGUUGUAUUGGCAAACAGCCACUUUCUAUAUCACAUAUGCACUGACACAAGUUGGAGUAGAAUGGAACCUGUCCCCUGUUGGCAGAGUCACUGCAAAGGAAUGGAGAGAUCAGUAAUCAUGCCAGCUGGUGUGAUACUUUUUUCAAAAGCAACUUGUAAGUGAUGCCAAGUUAAAGCACUGUGUAUCCCCUAAAAUAUGGC
Molecule: long non-coding RNA, 236 nt
Filed under: Marmota monax (woodchuck)
Lineage: Eukaryota; Metazoa; Chordata; Mammalia; Rodentia; Sciuridae
Source: RNAcentral